CUGACGGCGCUUACCAUGCAGUCGAGCGGAGAUAAGGUGCUUGCACCUUAUCUUAGCGGCGGACGGGUGAGUAAUGCUUAGGAAUCUGCCUAUUAGUGGGGGACAACAUUUCGAAAGGAAUGCUAAUACCGCAUACGCCCUACGGGGGAAAGCAGGGGAUCUUCGGACCUUGCGCUAAUAGAUGAGCCUAAGUCGGAUUAGCUAGUUGGUGGGGUAAAGGCCUACCAAGGCGACGAUCUGUAGCGGGUCUGAGAGGAUGAUCCGCCACACUGGGACUGAGACACGGCCCAGACUCCUACGGGAGGCAGCAGUGGGGAAUAUUGGACAAUGGGGGGAACCCUGAUCCAGCCAUGCCGCGUGUGUGAAGAAGGCCUUUUGGUUGUAAAGCACUUUAAGCGAGGAGGAGGAGCUCUAGAUUAAUACUCUAGAUGCUUGGACGUUACUCGCAGAAUAAGCACCGGCUAACUCUGUGCCAGCAGCCGCGGUAAUACAGAGGGUGCAAGCGUUAAUCGGAUUUACUGGGCGUAAAGCGUGCGUAGGUGGUCUUUUAAGUCGGAUGUGAAAUCCCUGAGCUUAACUUAGGAAUUGCAUUCGAUACUGGGAGACUAGAGUAUGGGAGAGGAUGGUAGAAUUCCAGGUGUAGCGGUGAAAUGCGUAGAGAUCUGGAGGAAUACCGAUGGCGAAGGCAGCCAUCUGGCCUAAUACUGACACUGAGGUACGAAAGCAUGGGGAGCAAACAGGAUUAGAUACCCUGGUAGUCCAUGCCGUAAACGAUGUCUACUAGCCGUUGGGGUCUUUGAGACUUUAGUGGCGCAGCUAACGCGAUAAGUAGACCGCCUGGGGAGUACGGUCGCAAGACUAAAACUCAAAUGAAUUGACGGGGGCCCGCACAAGCGGUGGAGCAUGUGGUUUAAUUCGAUGCAACGCGAAGAACCUUACCUGGUCUUGA
This 949-nucleotide ribosomal RNA is filed under the name Acinetobacter sp. RNAcentral's name for it is "bacterial SSU rRNA". It matches the Rfam family "Bacterial small subunit ribosomal RNA", at positions 36 to 984 of the family's 1533-position model. Lineage: Bacteria; Pseudomonadati; Pseudomonadota; Gammaproteobacteria; Moraxellales; Moraxellaceae. The record is from RNAcentral.